UAUCAAAACACAAAACGUAUA
This 21-nucleotide non-coding RNA is filed under the name Caenorhabditis elegans. Lineage: Eukaryota; Metazoa; Nematoda; Chromadorea; Rhabditida; Rhabditidae. The record is from RNAcentral.